This 23-nucleotide small nuclear RNA is filed under the name Arabidopsis thaliana (thale cress). Its description in RNAcentral is "snRNA_17717". Lineage: Eukaryota; Viridiplantae; Streptophyta; Magnoliopsida; Brassicales; Brassicaceae. The record is from RNAcentral.
UAACAGCCUGCCCACCCUGGAAA